RNAcentral lists this ribosomal RNA (253 nucleotides) under uncultured bacterium. RNAcentral describes it as "partial 16S ribosomal RNA". It matches the Rfam family "Bacterial small subunit ribosomal RNA", at positions 524 to 776 of the family's 1533-position model. The record is from RNAcentral.
UACAGAGGGGGCAAGCGUUGUUCGGAAUUACUGGGCGUAAAGGGCGCGUAGGCGGCCAACUAAGUCGGACGUGAAAUCCCCAGGCUCAACCUGGAAACUGCGUCCGAUACUGGAUGGCUUGAAUCCGGGAGAGGGAUGCAGAAUUCCAGGUGUAGCGGUGAAAUGCGUAGAUAUCUGGAGGAAUACCGGUGGCGAAGGCGGCAUCCUGGACCGGCAUUGACGCUGAGGAGCGAAAGCCAGGGGAGCAAACGGG